RNAcentral lists this long non-coding RNA (707 nucleotides) under Marmota monax (woodchuck). The record is from RNAcentral. Lineage: Eukaryota; Metazoa; Chordata; Mammalia; Rodentia; Sciuridae.
CAGCCCCUCAUUUUAUAUUUAAAAUGCAGUAAUGGUGAUAAAGAGGUCUUCAGUUUCUUAGUUAACUUUUAAUCUUGCUAAAUUAUAUGUUGUGUAUUAAGGUAGAAAAAGAGACAGGGAGAGAAAGAGAAAAAACAUCGGAGUGUAAGAUAUCCUCCCCUUGAUGCACAUAUUAACAUUUCUUGCUCAUUUAUCCAUGGAAUAUUCUGAUUUUGGACUUUUUCCACAUCCUAAAUUUAGAAAGCUAGAAUUAUCUUUUAAGCACCACUUUAAGCAACCUUUUUGAAAGGAAGAAUGCCAACAAGGGGGAAAUCUAUAUUUCCUCGUGGUUGGAAUGCAAUAUCUCUAACACAGUCAUUCAGCAGAGAAGUCUUAUUACAUGCUGAUGUUACAGCAAGGACAGUAAUCCAGAAAAUUCAUUACAAGUGUGCAAGAGUGAAAACUUCUACAUUAAGACCAAGAAACAUGAGAAACACAGACUGCUGCCAGGCAAUGAAUUAUAGGCAUCCCCUCUUUGUGUGUUCAGGGAGCCAUGCACAUUGAAUUGAAUAAUUGGCUUUAAUGUACCAGGGGAGAUUUCAUUAUUUAAAGAAAUUCUAUGUUGAGUCUUUUUAUAGCUAAAGCAUUCUUUUUUUUUUUUUUUGGUGGGGGUCGUGCUGGGAACUGAACCCAAAUCAAGUCCUCAUGCAUGCUAGGCUCUAACACUG